AGAGUGAAUGUAGCACAAUAAAGCAAUGUAUUUGCCUUAAAUGCACUUUGUGAUACAGUAGUUUGCUCAUGUUGCUAAAAAUUGCCUAAACUUCUGCUUAAAUUUUCCCAGUAUCACAAAUAUCACAUGUAUCAGUUAUCCUGAAGACACCAUCUUGGCAAGGAUAUGCUUUCCAUUACUGGCCUAAGAUAACUCGUCUGUUCAAAUGGGAGUGUGACUACCUGAUAUUUCUGCGUGGCAGGCCUUGGGAGUAUUGAAUACUGGGCCAGCAUUCAACUCACAGUGGACAUGCAAUAACUGGAAAUGAGCAAACUCUGUCCCAAGGUCUCCAGUGGUCAGUGUGCAAAUCAUCAGGAACCGUGACUGCAGGUUCUGAGAUAUUCUGCCUGAGAUGUGAGGAAAA
Molecule: long non-coding RNA, 403 nt
Organism: Dromaius novaehollandiae (emu)
Lineage: Eukaryota; Metazoa; Chordata; Aves; Casuariiformes; Dromaiidae
Exons: 3
Source: RefSeq, a predicted model, not a curated record